RNAcentral lists this long non-coding RNA (258 nucleotides) under Chrysolophus pictus (golden pheasant). RNAcentral describes it as "lncRNA (ENSCPIG00010008916.1)". The record is from RNAcentral. Lineage: Eukaryota; Metazoa; Chordata; Aves; Galliformes; Phasianidae.
UGAGCUCUGGGAGUCAGGACUGUCCAGUAUAGCAGGGAGGUCUCCAGAGCUAGCUGGUGGAAGGAAAAUAGGGGUAUGAGGUGCUAGCAUGAGGAAAUCCUCAAAAUCUACAGGUGGAGCAGCUGGGGACAUGGACAAGGGAGCAUGACCAAAGAUCCAGCGAGCAAAGGCGCACAAGAAAGCAUGCAGGGAUUUUGGGAAGAGGAGGCUAUGAUCUUCCCACCUUUCACCAUGCAAAGUCACAGAAGUGCUUUGUAG